Molecule: RNA transcript, 1914 nt
Organism: Daucus carota subsp. sativus
Lineage: Eukaryota; Viridiplantae; Streptophyta; Magnoliopsida; Apiales; Apiaceae
Gene name: glycoprotein 3-alpha-L-fucosyltransferase A
Exons: 7
Source: RefSeq, a predicted model, not a curated record
UUUAACUCCCAUGUUAGAACCAACAUUCAAAUGGUUCACAAGAACCAACAAAAAGCACUUGUCAUUGCUCCACACACUCCCGAACUCUCCUCUUUUACUUUCCCCCCACUUUCAUCUCCGCUAAACAUAACACACCCAACAAAAUUCAAUGAAAAUUAAACAACCCCUCUUGAGAAAAACAAUAAAGAUUCAUCCUUUAAACAAUCAAAACAAUAAAGAUUCAACCUUUACACAUAUAAAAGAAGAAAGAUUCAAACUUUCUACAUUUAACAAUGAGCCCGCCUCAACCAGAAAAUACCCACCAAAAAAUGAGGAGAAAAUGCUCAAAUUUAAUGCCUUUAUGUGUUCUUGUUGUGGUGAUUGCAGAGAUUAUGUUUCUGGGUCGAGUCAACGUUGCUCACAAGAACUCUUUGGUUAAUUCAUGGGCUGGCUCGUUAUAUCAGUUUAGUACAUUGCCUUGGUCUUUAAUGAGCUAUGGUUUUGAUGAUGAUGAUAAUCGAGUCGGGUCGGGUCAGGUCGGUGGCAUUGAGGAGUACUCAGUGCCUGAUGAAUGUGAGGAAUGGUUGGAGAAACAUGAUUUUGUGGCUUAUUCUAGGGAUUUUGAAAAAGAACCCGUUUAUGUUUCCGGGUCGAAUGAGGACAUGAAAUCUUGUGCGGUGGGAUGUAAACUUGGAUUUAUUCGUGACAAGAAGGCUGACGCUACGUUUGGAGCUGCAAAAACAGAUAAGGGACCCUUUGUACUUCGAUCAAUGGAGCCAGUUAGUUACUAUCCGGAGAACAAUAUCGAUUACGCAAGACGGAGGGGAUAUGCCUAUAUUAUGACAACUAGUCUCUCGUCAGAUAUUCCUGCUGGAUAUUUUUCUUGGGCUGAGUAUGACAUUAUGGCUCCUUUGCAACCUAAGACCGAGAAUGCUCUGGCUGCUGCUUUCAUCUCUAAUUGUGUUGCUCACAACUUACGCUUGCAAGCUCUUGAAGGUCUUAAGGCGGCAAACAUUACAGUUGAUUCUUAUGGUGCAUGUUACCGAACCCGUGACGGAGACGUGAACAAAGUGGAUACUCUGAAGCGCUACAAAUUUAGCUUGGCGUUUGAGAAUUCCAACGAAGAAGAUUAUGUUACUGAAAAAUACUUUCAGUCUCUUGUUGCUGGAGCUAUUCCCGUAGUUGUUGGUGCUCCAAAUAUCCAAGACUUUGCGCCUUUGCCUGGUUCAGUUUUACAUAUCAAAGAGGUUAAACACGUCGAACCAGUUGCCAAGACCAUGAAAUACCUAGCGGACAACCCUGAUGCAUACAACCAGUCACUUCGAUAUGGCAGCAGUUCACUCAUCAUGCCGCUUGUGCAUUCACAUUGCAACAAUGAUGCGUGAGGAAGAGGAAAAUAAUCUGAACUUGACGGAACGCCCUUGCAAGUGUACCCGAGGCUUAGAAACUGUAUAUCAUGUAUAUGUACGAGAAAGAGGGAGGUUCGAGAUGGAGUCAAUUUUCAUUAGGUUUGUGAGUGUUGUCCAAGCCGGAGUCUACAGGAAACAAAUUCUCUAGAGUCUUUGGAGUAAAGGUAAAAUUUGCCUACUUGAGCCAGGAUACGAUUCAAUUUGGUUUAGUGUUUACCAGCCUACAAGCUCCAUAAACAUAUAAUAACCCGUAACUCUGAUUUUUUUUUUCCAGCAAGUUAUAGAAGGAACACUCGUAAUGCUACAUGAACUAAAAAAUGAACAAAGUUGAACCCUUCAACAUUCUUAAUUUUAAAGAAAUCUCUCACAUGUAUCUUCUUUCAGAUCUGGAAAUUUGACCCUCAAGGCCUUAGAAUCUGCAGUGCUGUUGAAGUUCAAGUCUUUAAAACAUGUUCCUGUUUGGAAGGAGGAAAGACCGAAAAUCCUAAGAGGAACUGAUGAGCUCAAACUGUAUCGGGUCUAUCCU